UUAUGGGAGCUACAAGGUGAGAUUUGGGUGGGGACAUAGAGCCAAACCAUAUCAUUGACCUGCUGGCACCAUCAAAUAUUUCUGCAUGAUGAAAUUUCAGCUCAGUUUUAAGUGUCUAUGCCUACAAUCAUCAUGGGACUCUUUCUAACUAUACACUGUACAUCACAUACAACACCUGCAUCCUUCUCUGCCACACAGAUCUGCUGAGAUUUGCAUUAUGGCUGAAUUAGCCGAAAUUUACAUGCCAAAGGGGCAUCGAUAUUUUUCAUCUGCUGCUUUCUACGUGUAGGACAAGGCUUAUAUUACUGGUCCUACACUUUCCUAGAAACCAGAAACAUCGGUAUUAUGUUACUAUUUAUAGUAAUAGCAACAACAUUUAUAGGUUGUGUCCUACCAUGAGGACAAGUAUCUUUUUGAGGGGCAACAGUAAUUACAAAUCUAUUGUCAGCUGUUCCAUACAUUGGCACCAGCCUGGUACAAUAAACUUAGGAGGCUUUUCAGUUGACAAAGCCACCUCACACCAUUCUUCACCUUCCACUUCAUCUUACCUUUCAUUAUCAUGGACCUAGUAGCCAUCUACCCUCUAUUUCUUCCAGAGACAGGAUCCAACAACCUGUCAGGAGUUUCAUCAGAUUCUGGCAAAAUUCCAUUCCAUCCCUACUACACAAUCAAAGACAUUUUGGGUCUAAUUCUCCUUCUACUAUUACUACUUAUA
This 715-nucleotide long non-coding RNA is filed under the name Homo sapiens (human). RNAcentral describes it as "non-protein coding lnc-TBCE-4:1". The record is from RNAcentral. Lineage: Eukaryota; Metazoa; Chordata; Mammalia; Primates; Hominidae.